Molecule: ribosomal RNA, 419 nt
Filed under: uncultured bacterium
Lineage: Bacteria
Description: bacterial SSU rRNA
Rfam family: Bacterial small subunit ribosomal RNA
Source: RNAcentral
UGGGGAAUAUUGGGCAAUGGGGGAAACCCUGACCCAGCAACGCCGCGUGAAGGAAGAAGGUUUUCGGAUUGUAAACUUCUGUCCUAAGGGAAGAAAGAAAUGACGGUACCUUAGGAGGAAGCCCCGGCUAACUACGUGCCAGCAGCCGCGGUAAUACGUAGGGGGCAAGCGUUGUCCGGAAUUAUUGGGCGUAAAGGGUGCGUAGGCGGCCGAUCAAGUCAGGUGUGAAAGACCCGUGCUUAACAUGGGGGAUUGCACUUGAAACUGGUUGGCUUGAGUAUGGGAGAGGCAAGCGGAAUUCCCGGUGUAGCGGUGAAAUGCGUAGAGAUCGGGAGGAACACCAGUGGCGAAGGCGGCUUGCUGGACCAAAAGCUGACGCUGAGGCACGAAAGCGUGGGUAGCAAACAGGAUUAGAUACC